Molecule: ribosomal RNA, 129 nt
Filed under: uncultured bacterium
Lineage: Bacteria
Description: partial 16S ribosomal RNA
Rfam family: Bacterial small subunit ribosomal RNA
Source: RNAcentral
GUAAGGAAUAUUGGUCAAUGGACGCAAGUCUGAACCAGCCAUGCCGCGUGAAGGAUUAAGGUCAGGAUUGUAAACUUCUUUUAUCUGGGACGAAAAAAGGGAUUCUUCGUCACUGACGACCAGAGAGAC